UGGGGAAUAUUGGGCAAUGGGCGCAAGCCUGACCCAGCAACGCCGCGUGAGGGAAGAAGGCUUUCGGGUUGUAAACCUCUGUCCUUGGUGACGAAAAAAAUGACGGUAGCCGAGGAGGAAGCCCCGGCUAACUACGUGCCAGCAGCCGCGGUAAUACGUAGGGGGCGAGCGUUGUCCGGAAUUACUGGGCGUAAAGGGUGCGUAGGUGGCCUUUUAAGUUGGAUGUGAAAUACCCGGGCUUAACUUGGGGGGUGCAUCUAAUACUGGGAGGCUAGAGUGCAGGAGAGGAAAGCGGAAUUCCUAGUGUAGCGGUGAAAUGCGUAGAUAUUAGGAGGAACACCAGUGGCGAAGGCGGCUUUCUGGACUGUAACUGACACUGAGGCACGAAAGCGUGGGGAGCAAACAG
RNAcentral lists this ribosomal RNA (406 nucleotides) under uncultured bacterium. RNAcentral's name for it is "bacterial SSU rRNA". It matches the Rfam family "Bacterial small subunit ribosomal RNA", at positions 355 to 775 of the family's 1533-position model. The record is from RNAcentral.